RNAcentral lists this long non-coding RNA (493 nucleotides) under Cyanistes caeruleus (blue tit). RNAcentral's name for it is "lncRNA (ENSCCEG00000011251.1)". The record is from RNAcentral. Lineage: Eukaryota; Metazoa; Chordata; Aves; Passeriformes; Paridae.
AACUCCCAAGUUCUGCACCUUAAACAGAGUCACACUUUCUCUCAAACCGCCUGGCUUUGGCUACGUUUUGACCUUUCACUUUCAGCAGGAAAACUCCAGGAAAAUAAGAAAUAUUUUAUGUCAUUGCUGUAUUCCAACUACUGCAAUUGUUUUCACCUUGUUUUACUGUUAUAUUGACCUUCACCCAAAUAUUUGCAUAGCACAAAUAUAGUAAGUAAAUUAAUUUCAAAAAGUGAGAAAUCUGAUUUCAUUCCAACCUGAGGGAAUUCAAAACCAUCCUUAUAUUUUCUGAAAAGUCUUCUAACAGACAUGCUGUUAAGAAUAUUUGAGCUUUGGUGCUAAUAGAAAAUGAAGGCAUAUAGAAAUUUUAAGAAAAUUGAGUCAUUGAAGCUGGGGCUCUACAACCAGUGAUGCAGAACCCAGGGAUCCAGAAGCACAGCAUCCCAGCAGCUGCCCUGCAGAGAAAAUAAAUAUGUGGACCCCUACCUGAACA